RNAcentral lists this ribosomal RNA (417 nucleotides) under uncultured bacterium. RNAcentral describes it as "bacterial SSU rRNA". It matches the Rfam family "Bacterial small subunit ribosomal RNA", at positions 358 to 772 of the family's 1533-position model. The record is from RNAcentral.
GGAAUAUUGGACAAUGGGCGCAAGCCUGAUCCAGCCAUGCCGCGUGCAGGAAGACGGCCCUAUGGGUUGUAAACUGCUUUUAUACAGGAAGAAACAUCUCUACGUGUAGAGACUUGACGGUACUGUAGGAAUAAGGAUCGGCUAACUCCGUGCCUGCAGCCGCGGUAAUACGGAGGAUCCAAGCGUUAUCCGGAAUCAUUUGGUCUGAAGGGUCCGUAGGCGGUCAGGUAAGUCAGUGGUGAAAGCCCAUCGCUCAACGGUGGAACGGCCAUUGAUACUGUCUGACUUGAAUUAUUAGGAAGUAACUAGAAUAUGUAGUGUAGCGGUGAAAUGCUUAGAGAUUACAUGGAAUACCAAUUGCGAAGGCAGGUUACUACUAAUGGAUUGACGCUGAUGGACGAAAGCGUGGGUAGCGAA